GCGCCUUUAGCUCAGUUGGAUAGAGCAACGGCCUUCUAAGCCGUGUGCCAGGAG
Molecule: non-coding RNA, 54 nt
Organism: Clostridium cylindrosporum DSM 605
Lineage: Bacteria; Bacillati; Bacillota; Clostridia; Eubacteriales; Clostridiaceae
Source: Rfam